CUACCCGCGUGCUGCGACACCGACGCGCGGAGGGACACUGGUUGGCCGCCGGCAAGGAAAUGCACCGCAUAAGGUGCCUAGGAAACGUACUCCAAGGUCCUUGAGCGGCGCAGGCGCAGUGAACGUGUACACGAUGCGCGAAAUAUCACAGACGUGAUAUCUGUGCGUUUUGAUAAUUCUGCGAAAAUGCUUUUGGACAAAUGUAAGGAAUGCAACAUCUGACCAUUAUCAUCUAUGAGGACUACCCUACACCAGUAUAGAAUAAGCAAAUUUUAAACGCAAAUUCAGCAUCAAUUUGACAGCACGGAUAGCCGAGUGAUUGAAGUCAUCACGCCAAAAUUCACUGACCACAUCCUGCCUCAGGCUUUAUCCCUGCGUAGGAUUAGCUCUUCAAUAAAACAAGAAUUCUCUGAGUCUGGAGGUCUUUGUGACUAAAAUGUUUGUAAAAACCUAGCAACAAAAAGAAUAAAAUUCCUUAGCGCAAGGUGCGUUUUUUAUGUUUCUUUUAACUAGUAACUCGCCUAUAAAUUGUACCACAAUUAACUAUUACACAACCAAACACCUUUCUCAUAACCUCUCAACCACAGUACCUGCUGCCAACAACAACUAUUCUGACUCACGAAAUAGCUACCACGCCCUUAAGUAUUAGUGCAUAAGGUGGAAAUUCCAAUACUUCUUUCUUUUGUAAUUUAUAGUAAAAGGUUGUAAUUGUGAUAGUUGACAGUUGACGCAUCUUUAACGAGAGUGACAGGAACUUUCACGGCUGGAUAAUUAUUAAAAAGUGAAGUUAAUUACUUAAUUAAAUGUAAUAUGUUAUGUGUGCUUAUGUGGAUAGCACUAGGUGGGAAAUUAGCUUGCAGAAAAGACAGACAUAGUUCAGUAAACCAUUAAAAACUAUAUAAUUUGUGAUGUAUUAUAAUAAUAUUGG
Molecule: long non-coding RNA, 928 nt
Organism: Trichoplusia ni (cabbage looper)
Lineage: Eukaryota; Metazoa; Arthropoda; Insecta; Lepidoptera; Noctuidae
Exons: 3
Source: RefSeq, a predicted model, not a curated record